AUUGAACGCUGGCGGCAGGCCUAACACAUGCAAGUCGAGCGGAUGAAGGGAGCUUGCUCCUGGAUGCAGCGGCGGACGGGUGCGUAAUGCCUAUGAAUCUGCCUGGUAGUGGGGGAUAACGUCCGUAAACGGGCGCUAAUACCGCAUACGUCCUGAGGGAGAAAGUGGGGGAUCUUCGGACCUCACGCUAUCAGAUGAGCCUAGGUCGGAUUAGCUAGUUGGUGGGGUAAAGGCCUACCAAGGCGACGAUCCGGAACUGGUCUGAGAGGAUGAGCAGUCACACUGGAACUGAGAAACGGUCCAGACUCCUACGGGAGGCAGCAGUGGGGACUAUUGGACAAUGGGCAAAAGCCUGAUCCAGCCAUGCCGCGUGUGUGAAGAAGGUCUUCGGAUUGUAAAGCACUUUAAGUUGGGAGGAAGGGCAGUAAGUUAAUACCUUGCUGUUUUGACGUUACCAACAGAAUAAGCACCGGCUAACUUCGUG
Molecule: ribosomal RNA, 484 nt
Filed under: uncultured bacterium
Lineage: Bacteria
Description: partial 16S ribosomal RNA
Rfam family: Bacterial small subunit ribosomal RNA
Source: RNAcentral